Molecule: ribosomal RNA, 253 nt
Filed under: uncultured bacterium
Lineage: Bacteria
Description: partial 16S ribosomal RNA
Rfam family: Bacterial small subunit ribosomal RNA
Source: RNAcentral
UACGUAGGGAGCAAGCGUUGUCCGGAAUCAUUGGGCGUAAAGCGCGCGUAGGCGGCCUCGUAAGUCCGUUGUGAAAGUCAAAGGCUCAACCUUUGAAAGCCGAUGGAUACUGUGAGGCUAGAGUCCGGAAGAGGCGAGUGGAAUUCCUGGUGUAGCGGUGGAAUGCGCAGAUAUCAGGAGGAGCACCAAUAGCGAAGGCAGCUCGCUGGGACGGUACUGACGCUAAGGCGCGAAAGCGUGGGGAGCGAACAGG